Brassica napus (rape) is the source of this 2048-nucleotide RNA transcript. It is a transcript of the gene named probable glycosyltransferase At5g03795, with no coding region annotated. The transcript has 5 exons. The record is from RefSeq and is a predicted model, not a curated record. Lineage: Eukaryota; Viridiplantae; Streptophyta; Magnoliopsida; Brassicales; Brassicaceae.
UGGUGGGUGUUGAGAUGAGGAAUGGUGAAGAAACUAAAUGUGUUUUUCCCUUGACGAGUCUUCUUUGCGGUUUGGUGGGUUGAUUGAAAAGUUAAGGUCUUUUGAUCCUGUUUUGUGUUCUAAUUCUCUGUAGUUAAGGCUUUUUACUGAGAAAAUCUUUUGGGUGAUGCAGAUCUUUGAUAGUUUUCAGAGAAGUAUCAAUUUUUAUUGAAUUGCCUUUGUUGGUUUGUGAGGUUUGUUCCUCUGUUUCGCCGCCGCAGAAGGAGAGGUUUAUCCGAGGAAUAGGAAAGUUUGAUCUGCGGCAACGAGAUGGAAGAAGCUUGGUUUCGUCUGUGUUAUCUCUCUCAAACUAGAUUUGAUUUUGAAAUGGCUUGAGGAGAUGAGAAAAGAGGACGAGGAGAGGAAGGUUUAUAUAAAAGGAAGGACGAAGGGUGAGAGAAAAGAAGUAACUUCGAAAUUGUCAUUCACCCUCCAAAAACGACUACGUCAAUUAUGGCAGUUGAGCCGCUCAUUUUCUCUUUAAUUAUCAAUAGGGUGACACAAAGGGAUCAGCAAAAGGUGGGGAUGCAAAUUCAAAGAAAGAGGUCAAUCAAGCCAAAAUGGCCAGGUACAGACACCUGGUCUUUCCUAUACUCGAGUUCCUUCAAGAGCAUCAACUUUACCCUGAUGAGCAGAUCCUCAAGUUCAAGAUCGAGCUUCUGAACAAGACCAACAUGGUUGAUUACGCCAUGGACAUCCACAAGAGUCUCCACCACACAGAAGACGCUCCCCAAGGUAUAAUAAUCUCUGUGAAAGUUUGCCUCUUUCGUCUUUGUUGGUUGAUUGGUUUAUCAUGAAUGUUUCUGGUGAUAGAUAUGGAGGAAGCGGCUGCAUUGCUCGUGACGUUCCUAUUGAACCCUAAUGCUGUCCAGGAGCUAAGAGGUGAUAAGAAAUACAAUCUCCAGAUGCUGAAAGAACGUUACCAGAUUGGUCCAGACCAGAUUGAGGCGUUGAAUCAGUACGCCAAGUUUCAGUUUGAAUGUGGGAAUUAUUCAGGUGCUGCUGAUUAUCUUUCCAGUACAGGACUCUUUGCUCUAACCUUGAGAGAAGUAUGAGUGCCUUGUGGGGGAAGCUAGCAUCUGAGAUAUUGAUGCAGAACUGGGACAUUGCGCUUGAAGAGCUCAACCGUCUCAAGGAUAUUAUUGACUCAAAACUGCUGUUGGGUUGCAGAAGUCACGAUUCUGGUGUGAGCCGCUUGUUCCCAGAUGCUCGAGGAGACACUAUAUGUAAAGAACUCACACAGACACCGCAAUCUCAUUAAGUAUCUAAAAGACUAUAUUGACUUCAUUUCCACAAAAUAUCCUUUUUGGAAUCGAACUUCUGGAGCUGAUCAUUUCCUUGCCGCCUGCCAUGACUGGGCUCCAUCGGAGACACGGAAGCAUUUUUCCAAGACUAUAAGGGCGUUGUGUAACUCGGAUGUUAAAGAAGGCUUUGUCUUUGGAAAGGACACAUCUCUACCGGAGACAUACGUUAGAUAUCCCAAGAAACCACUAAGUAACAUCGGUGGCAAGUCUGCGUCCAAAAGGCCAACAGUAGCUUUCUUUGCUGGUCAACCCGGUCACGGGUACGUUAGGCCAAUACUACUCUCUUACUGGGGUGAACAACAAAGAUCCUGACCUGAAAAUUUUCGGGAAGCUUCUGAGGUCUAAAGGAAACAAGAACUAUCUUCAGUUCAUGAAGACGAGCAAAUACUAUUUUCUAUGGUUGUGUUCCAGUAAUCAUAUCUGAUAACUUUGUGCCACCUUUCUUCGAGGUUUUGAAGUGGGAGUCGUUUGCGGUUUUUGUGUUGGAGAAAGAUAUACCCAACUUGAAGAAGAUUUUGAUGUCUAUAUUGGAACGUAGGUAUAAGCAAUUGAAGAUGAGAGUGAAGAGAGUACAGAAGCAUUUUUUUGUGGCAUGUGAAGCCUGAGAAGUAUGAUAUGUUUCACGUGAUUCUUCAUUCUGUUUGGUUUAACCGAGUUUUCCAAAUUUCGGUUUAGAAGUUCUUUAUCAAACAAACAAUUCAUUUA